GAAGUUACUCGGUACAUCGGUGACAGGUGGUGCAUGGUUGUCGUCAGCUCGUGUCGUGAGAUGUUGGUUAAGUCCCGCAACGAGCGCAACCCCUAUUGUUAGUUGCCAUCAUUCAGUUGGGCACUCUAGCGAGACUGCCGGUAAUAAACCGGAGGAAGGUGGGGAUGACGUCAAAUCAUCAUGCCCCUUAUGACCUGGGCUACACACGUGCUACAAUGGUUGGUACAACGAGUUGCGAGUCGGUGACGGCGAGCUAAUCUCUUAAAGCCAAUCUCAGUUCGGAUUGUAGGCUGCAACUCGCCUACAUGAAGUCGGAAUCGCUAGUAAUCGCGGAUCAGCACGCCGCGGUGAAUACGUUCCCGGGCCUU
RNAcentral lists this ribosomal RNA (368 nucleotides) under uncultured Streptococcus sp. RNAcentral describes it as "bacterial SSU rRNA". It matches the Rfam family "Bacterial small subunit ribosomal RNA", at positions 1011 to 1382 of the family's 1533-position model. Lineage: Bacteria; Bacillati; Bacillota; Bacilli; Lactobacillales; Streptococcaceae. The record is from RNAcentral.